AUCAUUAACUGAAUCCAUAGGUUAAUGAGGCGAACCGGGGGAACUGAAACAUCUAAGUACCCCGAGGAAAAGAAAUCAACCGAGAUUCCCCCAGUAGCGGCGAGCGAACGGGGAGGAGCCCAGAGCCUGAAUCAGCAUGUGUGUUAGUGGAAGCGUCUGGAAAGGCGCGCGAUACAGGGUGACAGCCCCGUACACAAAAGCGCAUGUGCUGUGAGCUCGAUGAGUAGGGCGGGACACGUGGUAUCCUGUCUGAAUAUGGGGGGACCAUCCUCCAAGGCUAAAUACUCCUGACUGACCGAUAGUGAACCAGUACCGUGAGGGAAAGGCGAAAAGAACCCCGGCGAGGGGAGUGAAAAAGAACCUGAAACCGUGUACGUACAAGCAGUGGGAGCACAGGUUUACCUGUGUGACUGCGUACCUUUUGUAUAAUGGGUCAGCGACUUAUAUUCUGUAGCAAGGUUAACCGAAUAGGGGAGCCGGAGGGAAACCGAGUCUUAAUUGGGCGUUAAGUUGCAGGGUAUAGACCCGAAACCCGGUGAUCUAGCCAUGGGCAGGUUGAAGGUUGGGUAACACUAACUGGAGGACCGAACCGACUAAUGUUGAAAAAUUAGCGGAUGACCUGUGGCUGGGGGUGAAAGGCCAAUCAAACCGGGAGAUAGCUGGUUCUCCCCGAAAGCUAUUUAGGUAGCGCCUCGUGAAUUCAUCUCCGGGGGUAGAGCACUGUUUCGGCUAGGGGGCCAUCCCGGCUUACCAACCCGAUGCAAACUGCGAAUACCGGAGAAUGUUAUCACGGGAGACACACGGCGGGUGCUAACGUCCGUCGUGAAGAGGGAAACAACCCAGACCGCCAGCUAAGGUCCCAAAGUCAUGGUUAAGUGGGAAACGAUGUGGGAAGGCCCAGACAGCCAGGAUGUUGGCUUAGAAGCAGCCAUCAUUUAAAGAAAGCGUAAUAGCUCACUGGUCGAGUCGGCCUGCGCGGAAGAUGUAACGGGGCUAAACCAUGCACCGAAGCUGCGGCAGCGAACGUAUCACUUAAAGCGAUUCAGCGGGUUACGAUUGACGGAGCGAAGCGACGUCAAAGCGUAUACAAAGUCG
Molecule: ribosomal RNA, 1095 nt
Filed under: Salmonella enterica subsp. enterica serovar Kottbus
Lineage: Bacteria; Pseudomonadati; Pseudomonadota; Gammaproteobacteria; Enterobacterales; Enterobacteriaceae
Description: partial 23S ribosomal RNA
Rfam family: Bacterial large subunit ribosomal RNA
Source: RNAcentral